CACACCUGUCCUUCACCUCUUCUUCAACAAUUCUAAACUUGUGUGCGAGGUAUUAAUUUUUUUUUCACUUCUCCAUUCUUAGAAUUCUUUCUUCUCAUCUUUUCAUUUCUUUACUCUCUUCUCCCUCUUCUCUUUCUAUUUAAAGCCGUUUUUCUCUUUAUAUAAAGAUUACAAUGGUUGAUUUCCAUGACCCCAUUUUAUUAUCGUGUCAAGAUACCUCAUUACAUUUUGUGGAAAGGCUUCCAAUAAUAAUCAAAUGAUUAUGUUUUUCCAAGAACAAGUUUUGCUGCCAAAUAGGAUACCAAAAGGUAACAUUGCUAUCACUGCAUACGCACCAUUGAAUAAGCCGAAAGACAGACGAGUGGCUAAUGAAUCUAGUGGUAACAAGAGGCAAGCCGUUGGAUCAAUGAUGAGGCCCACACAAAUGGCUAAAGUUAUGACAAAUGUUAGGAGAUCGAUUUAGCUGCCUUAUGCAACAACAUGAUGCUUUUUAAGAAAGUCUUGAUACAUUAGCGAAGCUUGCUUCCCGAAAAACAUCAAUGGCAAUGCUGUGUUCUGUGGAAUAACAGAGUCAGUCUGCUGUUUCACUUAUACUUAGAUUCAGUGGAAGCAGCGACUCAGCUAUUCGACGCUAUCAUUCAUGACACUCUUGUGCUCAUUCUGGCUAAAUGAAGGCGCCAUUAUAGGAGAUUCCCGGCUGGCUCCCAGCCCAAACGCGGAUGCCGAAUUCAAAACUAAAGAAUCAGGAAGCUGUGCAGUGUUUCCUGUUGACUGAUUGUGUUGAUGUUGUUGUUGUAAUUGUAAUGCUUGGUGUUGAGCAGCAAAUGCAUCUUCAUUGAUCAAUGAAUUGAGAAACGAAGACAAAAUGUCGUCGCUACAGUAA
This is a long non-coding RNA of Mangifera indica (mango), 883 nucleotides long. RefSeq lists it as uncharacterized. Lineage: Eukaryota; Viridiplantae; Streptophyta; Magnoliopsida; Sapindales; Anacardiaceae. The transcript has 4 exons. The record is from RefSeq and is a predicted model, not a curated record.